GGAUAAUGAAGGGUAGAUCAAAUGCAUUCCAGAGAGCAAUUCAGUUUAGCAAGAAGCAAGAAUUUUUUUUUUUUUGUACUGGGGAUCGAACCCAGAAGUACCCUACCACCGGGCUGCAUCCCAGUCCUUUUUUUUUUAAUUCCCUUCGGUACUGGGCUACUUGACCACUGAGCCACAUUCCCAGCCCUAUUUUGUAUUUCAUUUAGAGACAGGUCUCACUGAGUCGCUUAGCGCCUUGCUUUUGCUGAGGCUGCCUUUGAACUCUUGAUCCUCCAGCCUCAGCUUCUCAAGCCGCUGGGAUUACAGGAGUGUACCACCAUGCCUGGCUCCCCAGUUCUUUUUAUAUUUUGAGAGAGGGUCUCCAAAAUUGCUCAUGCUGGCCUCUACUUUGCUAUCCUCCCUCAGUAGUGGGGAUGUGCCACUGUGCCCAGCUUUCUACAUGGUUUUCUGUACAUUGUGCUCACAAUCUGUUCUGGAGACAGAUUGAUUGAAUCAGAAGUAACUUUCCUGAGGAAGAUGUGUGGGCCUUCCAACUUGAGGCAGAGGGGGCAGUCUGGGCUUGAUCAGAUGAGUGCUGCCUGCUAACUUCCAUUAUUCUUGAGGCUAAAGAGGGCAUUGAAUUGCCUGUGGCCAUCUCAGCCACUACUGCCUGGAAGGGCAAGCUGCCUAGCUGGCCCCUUCAUGAUGCUGUGGCAACACCUGCCUAUGUUUGCGAAUGGAUUAGAGUUAUAGCUCUUCCAGAAAGGCUACAAGUGCUAAAGGGUCACAUAGAAUGGAAACUCCAUGUGACACCCCCCCUACACAUACACACACACAGUUUUGGGGUGGUACUGACACUGAGCUACAUCCCCAGCCCUUGCUAUUUUUGAGUCAAGGCUUAUUAAAUUGCCCAGGCUGGCCUUAGAGGCAUUAACUACUGUGCCCAUCUUAGUUUGGAUCUUAAGUGUCCCCCAAAGGUCCAGGUUGAAGGUUUUGGUCUCUAGCCCUUAGUACUAUUGAGAGGUGAAGGAAAUUUUAAGAUGUGGGGACUAAUGAGAGGUCUUCAGGUCAUUGGGGGCAUGCCCUUGAAGAUGAUUAUAGUAUUUUUUUGGUUUGGUUCUUUUUUCUUUUCCUUCCUAGCUAUAAAAUGAAUGGUUUUGCUGUUAACAUGCUCCCACCAUGAUGUCCAGCAGAGCCAACUGGCACUUAAUUCAGCCUCUAAAACUGAACCAAAAUAAACCUUUCACUGGGUAUGGUGGCAUAUGCCUGCAAUCCCAGCAACUUGGGAGGCCAAGGCAGGAGGAUCAAAAGUUCGGGCCAGCCUCAGUAAUUCAGCAAGGCUUAAGCAACUUGUGAGACCCUUUUCAAAAUAAAAAAUAAAAAGGUGGGCUGGGGUUGUGGCUCAGUGGUAGAGCGCUUGCAUAGCAUGUGUGAGGCAAUGGGUUUGAUUCUCAGCAUAGCUUAUAAGUAAAUAAAUAAAUGAAAUAAAG
This 1469-nucleotide long non-coding RNA is filed under the name Marmota monax (woodchuck). Lineage: Eukaryota; Metazoa; Chordata; Mammalia; Rodentia; Sciuridae. The record is from RNAcentral.